RNAcentral lists this ribosomal RNA (253 nucleotides) under uncultured bacterium. Its description in RNAcentral is "partial 16S ribosomal RNA". It matches the Rfam family "Bacterial small subunit ribosomal RNA", at positions 524 to 776 of the family's 1533-position model. The record is from RNAcentral.
UACGUAGGUGGCAAGCGUUAUCCGGAAUUAUUGGGCGUAAAGAGCGCGCAGGUGGUUGAUUAAGUCUGAUGUGAAAGCCCACGGCUUAACCGUGGAGGGUCAUUGGAAACUGGUCAACUUGAGUGCAGAAGAGGGAAGUGGAAUUCCAUGUGUAGCGGUGAAAUGCGUAGAGAUAUGGAGGAACACAAGUGGCGAAGGCGGUUUCCGGGUCUGUAACUGACACUGAGGCGCGAAAGCGUGGGGAGCAAACAGG